Molecule: ribosomal RNA, 472 nt
Filed under: uncultured bacterium
Lineage: Bacteria
Description: bacterial SSU rRNA
Rfam family: Bacterial small subunit ribosomal RNA
Source: RNAcentral
UGGGGAAUAUUGGACAAUGGGCGAAAGCCUGAUCCAGCCAUGCCGCGUGUGUGAAGAAGGUCUUCGGAUUGUAAAGCACUUUAAGUUGGGAGGAAGGGCAGUAAGUUAAUACCUUGCUGUUUUGACGUUACCGACAGAAUAAGCACCGGCUAACUCUGUGCCAGCAGCCGCGGUAAUACAGAGGGUGCAAGCGUUAAUCGGAAUUACUGGGCGUAAAGCGCGCGUAGGUGGUUUGUUAAGUUGGAUGUGAAAGCCCCGGGCUCAACCUGGGAACUGCAUCCAAAACUGGCAAGCUAGAGUACGGUAGAGGGUGGUGGAAUUUCCUGUGUAGCGGUGAAAUGCGUAGAUAUAGGAAGGAACACCAGUGGCGAAGGCGACCACCUGGACUGAUACUGACACUGAGGUGCGAAAGCGUGGGGAGCAAACAGGAUUAGAUACCCAAGUAGUCCCUGAGCGGGCUGGCAAGGCGCAU